GCCCCUGUAGCUCAGGUGGAUAGAGCACUGGCCUCCGAAGCCAGUUGCGGGCGUUCGAGUCGCCCCAGGGGUA
RNAcentral lists this transfer RNA (73 nucleotides) under Dehalococcoidales bacterium. RNAcentral describes it as "tRNA-Arg". It matches the Rfam family "tRNA". From Rfam's summary of the family: Transfer RNA (tRNA) molecules are approximately 80 nucleotides in length. Their secondary structure includes four short double-helical elements and three loops (D, anti-codon, and T loops). Lineage: Bacteria; Bacillati; Chloroflexota; Dehalococcoidia; Dehalococcoidales. The record is from RNAcentral. RNAcentral also lists the same sequence under 2 other names.